UACGGAGGGUGCAAGCGUUAAUCGGAAUUACUGGGCGUAAAGCGUGCGCAGGCGGUUUGUUAAGUCUGCUGUGAAAUCCCCGAGCUCAACUUGGGAAUUGCAGUGGAUACUGGCAGGCUGGAGUAUGGUAGAGGAAGGUGGAAUUCCCGGUGUAGCAGUGAAAUGCGUAGAGAUGCGGCGGAACACCGAUGGCGAAGGCAGCCCCCUGGGCUGAGAUUGACGCUCAGGCACGAAAGCGUGGGGAGCAAACAGG
RNAcentral lists this ribosomal RNA (253 nucleotides) under uncultured bacterium. RNAcentral's name for it is "partial 16S ribosomal RNA". It matches the Rfam family "Bacterial small subunit ribosomal RNA", at positions 524 to 776 of the family's 1533-position model. The record is from RNAcentral.